CAAUAGCGUAUAUUAAAGCUGUUGCGGUUAAAAAGCUCGUAGUUGGAUUUCUUUCAAGGACAACUGGUCCGCCCCUCGGGUGAGCACAUAGUUUGGUCUUGGCAUCUUGUUGGAAACUGUUGCUGCACUUGGUUGUGUGGCGCAGUGUCCAGCACUUUCACUUUGAGGAAAUUGGAGUGUUUCAAGCAGGCACAUGCCUUUGGACACAGUAGCAUGGAAUAAUUAGAUUGGGCUUUUGCUCCAACUUGUCGGUUUCUGGAGCUGAGGUGAGAAUUAAUGGGGAUUGUUGGGGGCAUCCGAAUUUAGCCGUCAGAGGUGAAAUUCUUGGAUCUGCUAAAGACGGACAACUGCGAAAGCGUUUGCCCAGGAUGUUUUCAUUGA
RNAcentral lists this ribosomal RNA (381 nucleotides) under uncultured eukaryote. RNAcentral describes it as "partial 18S ribosomal RNA". It matches the Rfam family "Eukaryotic small subunit ribosomal RNA", at positions 592 to 976 of the family's 1831-position model. The record is from RNAcentral.